GCCACCGCCGCUUUAUUUUUAGCCGGCGGCUCAGCUCCGCUCAGCUGCUAUUGCAAGAGAGGAGGCUGGUGGGAGGAGACGAGGCAGAUCUUCAGCCGGCUGCGAGGAGGAGGAGCAGGAGGAAGCCUGGCGCACCAGCCAAGCGCGCCCCGCAUGCACGGAGCGGUGCCCUCUCCUCCCAGUGCCCCGCAGCUGCUGCUGGGGACGCACGGCGGCCGCUGGCUUUCCCCGCGCGGCCCCCGGGAGAGAGCCGAGAGCCGCCGGAGCGCAGGCUCCCUCCGUGCCGCGGCAGCGGGGGCGCAGCUCGCCUUUGCAGAUGGCCAGUCCGGGCUCUGGGCUGCUGGAGGCGACGCAGCCUCCGGGGGACUCGCCGGAGCCAGCUUUGGCCGAAGCGCAGCAGUGGAUCGAGCAAGUUACGGGGAGAACCUUUGGUGAUAAAGAUUUUCGGUCUGGAUUGGAAAACGGUGUUCUGCUGUGUGAGACAAUAUUGCCUUGUUCUUAAGAGGCUGUAAGGAAUUGGGGCUUAAAGAAUCUCAGCUUUUUGACCCAGUAGACCUGCAGGACAACUCAGCAAAGCAACUGUCAGGAAUCUUGACUGUAGCAGAAAGCUGAAAAAUGUUUUAGUCACCAUCUAUUGGCUGGGGAAAACAGCAAACAGCAGCACUGGUUUCAGUGGAGCAACGCUCAACCUGAGGGAGUUUGAAGGAUUGCUAACGCAGCUGAGA
This is a long non-coding RNA of Lacerta agilis (Sand lizard), 725 nucleotides long. RefSeq lists it as uncharacterized. The transcript has 5 exons. Lineage: Eukaryota; Metazoa; Chordata; Lepidosauria; Squamata; Lacertidae. The record is from RefSeq and is a predicted model, not a curated record.